GACGAACGCUGGCGGCGUGCCUAAUACAUGCAAGUAGAACGCUGAAGGAGGAGCUUGCUUCUCUGGAUGAGUUGCGAACGGGUGAGUAACGCGUAGGUAACCUGCCUGGUAGCGGGGGAUAACUAUUGGAAACGAUAGCUAAUGCCGCAUAAUAGUAGAUGUCGCAUGACAUUUGCUUAAAAGGUGCAAUUGCAUCACUACCAGAUGGACCUGCGUUGUAUUAGCUAGUUGGUGAGGUAACGGCUCACCAAGGCAACGAUACAUAGCCGACCUGAGAGGGUGAUCGGCCACACUGGGACUGAGACACGGCCCAGACUCCUACGGGAGGCAGCAGUAGGGAAUCUUCGGCAAUGGACGGAAGUCUGACCGAGCAACGCCGCGUGAGUGAAGAAGGGUUUCGGAUCGUAAAGCUCUGUUGUAAGAGAAGAACGAGUGUGAGAGUGGAAAGUUCACACUGUGACGGUAUCUUACCAGAAAGGGACGGCUAACUACGUG
This 495-nucleotide ribosomal RNA is filed under the name uncultured bacterium. RNAcentral describes it as "partial 16S ribosomal RNA". It matches the Rfam family "Bacterial small subunit ribosomal RNA", at positions 28 to 507 of the family's 1533-position model. The record is from RNAcentral.